RNAcentral lists this ribosomal RNA (497 nucleotides) under uncultured bacterium. RNAcentral's name for it is "partial 16S ribosomal RNA". It matches the Rfam family "Bacterial small subunit ribosomal RNA", at positions 28 to 507 of the family's 1533-position model. The record is from RNAcentral.
GAUGAACGCUGGCGGCGUGCCUAAUACAUGCAAGUCGAGCGAACAGACGAGGAGCUUGCUCCUCUGACGUUAGCGGCGGACGGGUGAGUAACACGUGGAUAACCUACCUAUAAGACUGGGAUAACUUCGGGAAACCGGAGCUAAUACCGGAUAAUAUUUUGAACCGCAUGGUUCAAUAGUGAAAGACGGUUUUGCUGUCACUUAUAGAUGGAUCCGCGCCGCAUUAGCUAGUUGGUAAGGUAACGGCUUACCAAGGCAACGAUGCUUAGCCGACCUGAGAGGGUGAUCGGCCACACUGGAACUGAGACACGGUCCAGACUCCUACGGGAGGCAGCAGUAGGGAAUCUUCCGCAAUGGGCGAAAGCCUGACGGAGCAACGCCGCGUGAGUGAUGAAGGUCUUCGGAUCGUAAAACUCUGUUAUUAGGGAAGAACAAAUGUGUAAGUAACUAUGCACGUCUUGACGGUACCUAAUCAGAAAGCCACGGCUAACUACGUG